AAAAAAAAAAGGCGUUGGAGACGGCUGGAGAUGCUCUUACACACGCUUUCAGUUUAACUCCCCAGCUCGUCGGCCGUCGGGUCGUCUAUCCCCCUCGUGUCCCAGCUCGGCAUCCCGUUCUCCUCUCCACGGCUCCGCGGCCCGGCAGACACGCGAAAGGCGUCGCACCGCACUGAUCUCUUCCACCCCAGAUUUGUUUUCUCGCGAGCCAUGGCAGCCAUGCAUCAGGAGGACAUCAAUGAAGGCCCUGAUUUGCAGGUCAUCGUGUCAGCUACUAUUGCAGAAAGCUGUAUCAUGACAUGCGACUGUAUGCACAUCCUCCCAACCGUGACCUGGAGAAAAAACAGAAACGCAAUGCUGCGAUAUGGUCAUGUUGUCUUGCCAGUUCCAUGAAUGGAAAUACUAAGGUGACCUCAUCCCAGCAUGCACAGAGACCAAGAGAACAUAUCUAAGAAUAUUUUAAUGCGAAAUGGCCAUGAAUGGCCCUCAUCGCACAAGGCAGCACAAGCAUUUUAAUUCUUACAGAGCACAUUAAGUAGGGGUAUGUAAUAUUGUAUUAACCAGUAAUGAAUAGUUAUUCCGAAAUUGAGACUUCUCCUGCCAGUGACAGUUGUGAAACAGAGAGUAUAAAAUCUACUAUGCAUAUUCUGUAAUAAUUAUAACCAGUACCUGCAAGUUGCAAAGUAUGCAGGGAGAGCGACAGCAAUGCCCUGCGCAUGAAGGAAAAAUUACUACAAAUAUUAGCAGAUUCUUUGGCCCUACCAACUUUCAUUAGUAAUUAGUUGUGUAAAGAUUCAUCACAAUAUAGGAGUUGUAGUAUUAUGUGUCUUAAAGGGCAGUUCUGCAAUGCAUUGUGCCCAUAUAGGACGUGAGGAGAGCAUCCUGUCCCAAUUUUAUAUUUUGGUAGUUCACUGAGGUUUGGAAUGAAAGUUACAGGACAAUUAUGGUUCCAUAUCCAUUUAAAAAUCAGUAUAUUCAAUUACCUCCGGGAUGUAGUGUAGAGCUAUAGCAAUAACCAAGUUAAGGCCAACACGAAAACCCUGAAAGGUAGAUAAGAUUAAUGGGGUGUACAACAUGAACUACUACUAUUGAUUAUUCAGUUUCUGGUUCAUACAUAUUCGAAAUGAUGACAUGUUAUCUGCUUAAAAGGAACAUGCUUCCAAACAGAAAAAAAAACAUAACAUGCUUGGAUGGAGAUGCAGCAUCUUUAGACACAUCACCUAUUGUGUGAAUUGUUUGUAUUUAAGACAUAAUUAUUUGUGAAUAGAGUUUGGAGGUGUUCAACAGUUCAAAUGGUUAACAAGGUACAUAAACUAAUAGAUAUAGUAUCUGUAAUUAUAUAUAGUUCUUGAGAAACAUCGAUUGAAAUUUUGACUGUACAUUUUAAAUCAAUGGAAAAGGAUAACAUAUACCAGUAUUUACUAAUUGCAUCAUAUCUGAUAAACAUACAAUAUGCUAGUAUCUUCUCAAGUCUUUAACCAUGAGUCAGAAACUUAAUACAUUGAGCAUGGUAUUAAGAGAAAACGUGUUACUCUAAAUAUGUAAAACAGUGAAUAAUACCUUUGCAGUUCCAAGAAACGCGGCAGUACCCACAGGGAAGUUUUGCAGACUCACACCAGCAACUGUUGACGUGAGAACAUUGUUAAUGAAUGCGAUCAUUAUAAAUAAUGAACUUGGUAGGAAAGGGCUCUAUCAUUACUUGUAUAUGCAUAUAUUGCCUACAUCAUUUCGAUAACUAUUUGCUUGGUUGUCUUAUUUUAAUUUUAUUGUCUGAAUUUAUAAUUUAUGAAAAACUUCUGCCCUUAUACUUAUCACAUAAUAAUAUUGACUUGGUUUUAGGUGUUCAAUAAAACAGUAACUAUCCCGGGUCAUAACACUAUUUUACACUGAACAUCCUGAAAUGUACUGCUAAUAUUGCUUGUUAAAUCAUGUCUAUGAUUUUAAAUUGGAUUAGCUAUUGAAUCUGAAUCAGUUAAUCUAAUUGCUUUGUACACUGUUGUAGAACAAGCCCUAAAUAUUUUGUUGGAGUCAAUAUGCUCUAGCUCAGUACUAGAAUGUUAGAUAUAAUCAUAUAGUAUAUGCAUUUGAAGAACAGCGAUCAUGAAGUCAGGAUUUCUGUAUAAUUAUUUAAAAGGCGUGUUUUGUCUUUCUGGGCUCAUGAUGAAAACACUGAUGUAUUUUUGGUAGUUUAUAUUACAGGUUUUGCUUAUGUCAUGUUGUACAUUGUUAUUUCUCAUUUGGAAGGUUGAGAGCACAGACAUCUAUCUAAUUUUAUGCAUACAUUGAAUGGUUCAUAAACUGCUGGACAUUAAAUACAUCAACUUAAAUGUACAAAUAAUUUGAGCAGAACAUAAUUUAUAGGGUACCAAACUGCAUUGGACUUACCAAUUGCGGUGACAAUUACACUAAAGAUAACUCUUCUUCGGUGUCUCAUCAUAAGUUCCUGCCGUGCUGUGCUAUUAACCGUCUUCUUCCCCAAAUGGAAAACAGAGAGGAGAAUCAUAUUUAGUCUUUUCGAGAAACGCUAACUGAAAAAGUAUGUUAGCAAAGCUGAGGGAAGCUAUACUUGUUUGUCAUUUUCAUCUGGCGGACUGCAUUCUGGCUCAGGGAAGAUGUCGGCAAUUGCUGAAAAUAGAAGUGCUCCAGCAAAAAACUGCAAAGCAUAGGCUAAAAAGAUAAGAAAUGGUACAGAUGCCUGAAAAAUCAUCUCGCUUACUCUCAGUCUCACCCAAAGGUUCCCUUUCAGAAAACCAAUCGCAUUGACAGCAUCAUAAGCCAAGUCAAAGAAAGACAUGCUCAACAUGAGUCCAGUAGCAAAUCCCUAAAAGGAGUCGUCAAAAUGAUUGUUAAAUGUUGGUUCAUAUACAAAUAAACUUUGUUGUUUUGGGUGUGAUGCUUUGGUCAGCAUUAAGUAGAUAGUUGUAGCGUUUUACCUGUAAUAUCCCAAGUGUUCUGUUGUUUGGUGCAUGAUUUAAUAUUGCAAGUAAUGCACCUGUUGAAGCAUAAUAAAAUAUCAUUGGCGAAAUGAGUAGCAAAACGUUAUCUGACUAGUAUACCAUUCCAACAUUCUGGAAAGCAAAUAUGGGAAAACACCCAUUGAGAAAUAUGUGAUCUAUAGUGCAUCAAAUUAAACAGGUCAUGUGGUGAUGAAUAUGUGAUAUAUUAUGAACAAAGGGCAGAAGGGGAGGGAUGAAGAAAGAUGUAUAAAUGCGUACCGAGGGAGGUGCUCAAGCCACCUACGAGAGACAGAGUGAGAGCAACAGCAAUUUUGGGAUCCAUAGUAUGUACUGAGCGACGGACUUAACUAUUCCCUAUGCACAGUAGCUUUUCGUUGAACUGGAAGAACAGUAGAGGUAUGGGGAUGGUUAGAAUGCUAAACUGGGCAAGACAGUAACAGCGGCUGUUGUGACGGAGAUGUAUGUGGCCUUUAUAUACAGGCUUGGGAGGGGCCGCUAUGAUGUAAGGUACCUGUGGGCGACAGGUGAUGAUGCAACUGAAUGAGAAGAAUAGGAAGGUGAUCAAGUGGAGCAGGAGGCCUCAAUGGUUGACGCGGUGAUAUAUAUAUGUAGCUUGAACAGUUGCUCUGGUGAGUUGAGGGGGGCAAGUUUGGAAUGACUUGGCAGAUGAUUGCUUGCUUGGUUGAGGGUAUGCCUGCUGGUAAGGUCAGGCUGUGAUGUAACUCUCUCCUAGAUUUAUUCUUUAGACGGGAAGCAGCUAUUAAGGUCCAGGUAUCUUACAUGCUGAGAGGCAAAGCCUCCUUUUGUGUAGUACAACACAAACUAUAGGAAGUACAUAUAUAUAAGUACAAGCCUCUUGCUGUAAUGUAACUUUGUCUCUUGGGAAAGUGGAUGAUGCAAGACCUUUUUGUUGUCGGCAA
Non-coding RNA from Lolium perenne, 3877 nucleotides. The record is from RefSeq and is a predicted model, not a curated record. Lineage: Eukaryota; Viridiplantae; Streptophyta; Magnoliopsida; Poales; Poaceae.